RNAcentral lists this long non-coding RNA (11832 nucleotides) under Homo sapiens (human). RNAcentral describes it as "HSALNT0289860". Lineage: Eukaryota; Metazoa; Chordata; Mammalia; Primates; Hominidae. The record is from RNAcentral.
GCAUUUUCCAACUUGUUUGCUUGUGUGAACUUGUAUUUCUGUGCUGUGGGUGAGGUCACACACUCUGGGCCGCUGAACCCCAUCUGUGGAAUGGGGGUAACAGUGGCCUUGGCUUCCCAGGGCACUGCCAGCAUCAGCCAGUGCUGGGGGGCAGGCGAGGGGCCUCCUGAGGCUCUGGGACCCCCAUGUGGGGUUACUGUGAAUCUCUUGAGGUCUCCCCUGCAGGUGGGUGGGGGCCAAGUGCAGUGGUGGCGCUUUGAGUGGGCCUUGGCAUCCCCUCUAGUACCCGCACGCCAUCAUCCACUGUGCCCAUCCCUGCCACUGUAACCUCCGCCUCCAAGAAAAGGCUCAGCUUCUGGCCCAGAUGUCAUGGGCGGCAGCCAUGUGCAGCGGCUGAUACGCUCUGCAUCAGUAACCAGAUCAGUGCUGGGGUCAAAUAACUUUCUGCCGGGCAACAGAAUCCCUGCCCGGGGCCGCCGCCGUUGUUGGUCCUGACCGUGGGAUGAGCGUUGAAAGACAACGCCUCUGGGUGGGCCUGGGAGGGCAGGGCGGGGGCUGAGGGGCUGUUGGGACUGGGUGUCCACAUCUAAGGGAGGCAGAGGGGGCAGGACCCCCCGAGGGCUGCUGCAGAGCUCCAGGCUUCUCCUUGGAAACAGCCUCUCCAGCCGGCCUGUGGUGCCGCCUCCUCCAGCAAAGACCUCACAGGCAGAGUUCUGCAUGGGGCGGCCACACCUGGAUUUGGGCUAUUUUGUCUCCAGAGUCUUAAAAGGCCACCAGAGAAGGUCUUGAGGGGGUGCCCUGCCAAGUGACAAUUCAGAAUAAAAAAAGAUGCAGUCUCAGACACAAAAAGUGUUUCCACUUCCCAAUGUUAGUUUUGAAGAGCCUGGGGCCUCCUCGCCUUGCCUGCAGGCUGGGCUGACCGAGGAGCUCCCAGAGGUGUUCAGGGUCUGAGGUCCACCCAGCCCCGCUCCAGGCCCUGUGCGUGGGCUCCUCCCAGGGCAGGCGUCUGGGGGCCCUCACAGCCAGGCGGGGCCUGAAAGCUGAUUCCUGUAGAGGGAUUUUCCCUCAGAGACAGAGGAGACAUUGUGCCUAGUGAGGCUGAGCAUGGCCCAGUGGGGGCAGGAGCCCACCUUCUCUGUUCCUGACCCUGAGACAAAGCGGCCUCCCCCUGCUGUCAGGCCACGCGGCGGCUGGUGGGGGGCUUGGGAGCCAGAACGCUCCAGAGAGACGACUGCCAGAGGCCUGAAAGCCACUGCCUGUGGUGGCCACUGCUUCGAGACCUCCUUCCUCCAGAUGGAGGCCCUGUUCCCCGCUCCUCUAAUCAGCCCUCAGGGAGGUGGUGCACUCAUGAAAAUGGGCAUAGGGCUGGGUGCGGGCGGUCAUCCUGAGGUGCCAAAGGGGAGGGGAUGGGUCACCUCUGCCAUCACCCUUGGUUGACCUCCAGGCCAGGUCGGAUUCCAGGGUCAGCUCCCACCAAGUCUGGCAUCCUCAAACACAAGCCCUUCCUAGGGCUGACCAUGGCCCCUGCAGCAAGCUGAAUCAUGCUCCUCCUAAAAUUCAUGCCCUCACAGAACCUAAAAGGUGAUCUUUUCUGGAAAAAGCAUCUUUGCAGAUGCAAAUUAAUUGACAUAAGGUCACAUGGAAUCAGGAUGGGCUCUGAACAAGGAAGUAGGGUGUCUUUAUAAGAAGACACACAGGGAAGUGCUCAUGUGAAGACAGAGGCGGGGAUGGAGGUGAUGUGUCUAGAAGCCAAGAAUGGCCAAGGAGGGCCAAGGAUGGUCGAGGAUGGCCAAGGAGGGCCAAGGAUGGUCGAGGAUGGCCAACGAGGGCCAAGGAUGGUCGAGGAUGGCCAACGAGGGCCAAGGAUGGUCGAGGAUGGCCAAGGGGGGCCAAGGAUGGUCGAGGAUGGCCAAGGGGGGCCAAGAGGGCCGAGGAUGGCCAAGGAGGGCCAAGGAUGGUCGAGGAUGGCCAAGGGGGGCCAAGGAUGGUCGAGGAUGGCCAAGGAGGACCAAGGAUCGUCGAGGAUGGCCAAGGAGGGCCAAGAGGGCCGAGGAGGGCCAAGGAGGGCCAAGAGGGCCAAGGAUGGCCAAGAAUGGUCAUGGCUCACUGAGAACCGCUAAGGAAGGCCAAGGAGGGCCAAGGAUCAUCAAAGAUGGCCAAAGAGGACCAAGGAUGGCCAAGGAUCGCCAAGGAUGGUAGAGGAUCACUGAGAAUCGCCAAGGAAGUCCAAGGAGGGCCAAGGAUGGCCAGCAACACCAGACCUGGAGAGGCUGGGGACAGAGUCUCCCUCAGAGCCUCAGAAGGAGCCAACCCUGACCUCCCCUGGAUCUCAGGCUUCGGGUCUGUAGAACUGUGAGAGCACACAGUGUGUGGUUUGAAGCCACCUAGUUUCUGGUACUUUGUUACAGCAGCUCCAGGAAAUAAACACAGUCCCUGAGAGCCGCCCAGGGCACCCCUGCUGGGACACCCAUCUGGCCGGUGGUCAGGGCUUCAGGUGGGACCAUCUAGUGGGACUUGUGUGUGCCUCUACUCUGGGGGCAUGGCCAGCCCUCAGCCUCUGCCACAAGGACUCGGUCCAUUCCCAGGAAGGGCAUCCCCUGCGUUCAUCUCCCAGAGAGAGCUGAUGCUCAGGCCUGAGCUGGCUCUCUGCAGCUGUGCGUACCCUGGGGCCGGCUAACACCUCCUGGGAGCCCGGCCACCUACCCCAGCUGAGCAGCUUACCCAAGUCACUCCUCCCUGGCAGGCUGCUCAUUAGAAGAGGGGCUGCAGCUCACAGGCAUGAGAGAUUUCCUUGGGGACACUCCCUGUGUCCCUCAGAAGGACCUGGGGGUUUGGGGGUCACCCCUCCAAAGGACGCAUUUUCAGUAAUUAAAGAGGCAGUGGGGCCUGGAAGAGGCUGAGCCAGCUCUGGGCUGGGGGAGAGGUGGUUGGCGGAGUUCAGAGGCCACAUGUAGGGGCCAGAAACUGUGCGCUACCAGGUGACCAGAGCUCUGCUCAGCCCCUCGCGUGCAUCCUCCCCCCAGGACAUCAGUAUUUUCUCCAGCACCACCAGGGGCGUCCGCUGGCCUGGACCCUCAGGGACUCUGGCCCAGGGCAGGGUUCUGUGUCACAUCAGCACAAGGGAGGGUCAGAUGUGCUGCCCACGACCCGCCGAGUCCCACAGCUGAUCUGCUCACUCGCCGAGUUUGAGAACCAAGGCUGGGCAGGUAGGGGGGUGAUGACGGAAUCAAGGGGGGGUGACGACGGAAUCAGGGGGGACAUCUGUGCUUUAGAUCCUGACCCCAUGGAGUCGGAGCCUGCCUGUGCCCGCAGGAUCAUGCCAGGGCCUCAGUGCUUGGGUGGGGGCCAUGCAUCCAGUUCAGAGGCCAGCAUCCAGGGAGGGUGCCAGGUCGCUCGGCUGUUCGGAUGUUGUCACAGGGGAACCUGCUGGCUUCCGUCCCUGUGAAUGAGGCUUCAUGUCAGGUACAGUCUUUUGGCCAGGAAUGAGGGCAUGAGCGAGUGAGCUGCCAGGUCUGUGUCCGAGGACCCUGAGCCCAGCCAGGAGCAUCGCGGGGAGUGUGGAGAGAUUGUCUGGGAGUGGCUAUAGGGUUUAGGAAGUCUUUUGAGGGCCUGUCAAGAUGGCCAGGACUGGCAGGCGGGGCAGGGUGGCAAAGGUGGCCUCAGAGAGGAGGAGAGUGAGCCCGGCAGGCUGGGGGCGACCCUGCAGGCGGAGCCCCCUCCUUGGGGCUCCUAGUGCCCCAGGCCCCACUGUGGGAGUCCUGCUCCGCACCCACUUUGUAGAGUGGCUGGGGAGAGACGGAGGGAGAGACGGAGACCCCUGGAGGCCCCAUGCUCCCUCUUGGCGGCAUCAAGGCUACACCAGGACUCUCUCCUCUGGCUGGCAGGAGUGUCCAGGAGGGGCUGGCCCUGCUGCUGGUAGAUCCUCCUCCCAACCCAGACGGAGGGAGGGUGGCAGCCCCCACCCCUGCAAGCUCUUUCUUUCCUUUUCCCAAAGUUGAAGCUUCUCCUGGUGCCUCAGCAGCAACCCCUUCACCAGCCCCGUCCGCUGCCCGCAAUGUUGGUGGAGUAAGGAGAUGAGGCCCGUGCAGAGCCGGGGGAGCCCCUGGGGGGUCUCUAAGCUGAACAGGCCUCUUUGACAUCAUUACAUAAGCCGUCACAUUGUCACAGGCCACGGCCAGGAGUUGUAAAUACUCGGGGAAAAGCCCUCUUUGUUAUGAGGUUCUGGGAUGUGAGACCUUGCAGCUUUUACUGCUCAGGAUUAAAGGAAGCCAGGCCUGCGGGGAAGUGCGGCCGCUCCCAGCACCGGCCCUCGCCUUUGUCGGUGCUUUUUAUGACUGCACACGUGGGUUUCCAGGCGGGAGCUGGGGGUUCCCUGGCCUGGGACCCAGCAGGCACUGGCGGCAGCUGGCGGGGCCCCUGAUCCUCACGGACUUCCUCCUCCCUCCGCUGUCUCCCCGGCCUCCCUGGGCUUUCCAGGAGAGCCGUCCACGCCUGCUGUGGGAGGAAGACGCUUUCCUGAGGCAGGGGCCAGGCAGCUUCUGUUGGCGCCUGGAACAGCUUCCGCUCAUCGCUUCUGGCGGCACACACUGCGGAGGUGAGACUGCAAAUGCCGCCCGCCCCACGUGGUGCAGGCUGAGUGCUCUGGUGUUUGUCCAAGCUGUUCCAAGCCCAGGAGGUCGGACUCUCACCGUCGUCUUGGUGAUGGCAACGCUGUGUCCUGCCCCACCUCGUGGCUGCCCCCACCUGUACCGGUGAGACCUGAGGGUACGGGUGGGGUGGAUCCUGCCAUUCCCAAGGGCUAAGUCCUGAGACCCUUUUGAAACCCCGUUUGAAAAGGUGACAAUAGCGUAUGGCUUCCCGCACCAAGUGCACACAGUACACUAGCGACAGGCACAAAGGCAACAUGAAACGGGCUGCUCUGUGCUCGGGUGUCGCAGAAGCACGGGCCAGAGAGCCGGUGGCUGCCCAGGACCAAAGGGACCCACAUCGACCUGCUGGGCACUGGGGCCUAGAGAGUGACCAGAGCGUGAUUAGAAGAGGCCGGAUCACAGGGAGCCCCAGUCCACUGAACCACAUCCAGAAGGUAGAAAGGUUGUUUCUCUCCCCUGGAUGCCUGUGGGGGUGGGGACGGCAGAGCCUCGGACACUGCCCGGGGAUCACUCUCAGGCUACUUUUCCCACCCUGCCAAGCUGCUCGAGACGUCAAAGGAGACCAGGCCGGUCAGCACACAGGCUUCUGUCGCUCUGGCCUCGAUGUCUAAGGCUCCGUGGGCAGCCGGCCUGUGGAUGAGGCGGCGGAAACCACAUCCUCUUCAUCAUCCUCUCACGAGGAAGGACACUGACAGCUUCGGAGAAGGCUGCCCAGUGUCUGCGGGUGCCCUUGGGAGAUGGCCUUGGGACACGGUGCCUGUGCCUGUGUGUGUACACCACGUGUGAACGCCAACUGGGAACACGGCCCCUUCGUAGGCAAACCCAGGCCUCCUGGAAGUCACAAGUUGAUAGCUGUACUCGCCCCUUUUGGAAGACGCACGCCCAAGGCACCCGUGUGUGCACACGUAUCCGUGUGUGGACCUCUGUCCACACGUGUGUGUUUUGAAAAGCCUUUCUCACCACAUGUUAGGAUCACAAGUGUUCAAAAUCUAGGCACACUUUUCAGAAGUUAUUUCUGGAAAAAAUGUUGAAUCUCAUAACAGCAAUAAAAGGAAAAUACCGCCUCAGCCAACAUAAAUGUCUCCUUGGAACAUGCCUGAAAAGCGGCGGAGUAUUUGUGUAAGUUUCAAUUCCAGCGUCAGAGCCUGCAGCUUGGCCGAGGCCGGGUUCUGCACAGGAGGGUGCACGGUCCCUUUCCGAAAGCCCCUCACCGGACUUCUGGGAACUCCCAACCCAUCCCGGGAACCCCACCUGCCGGCCCCGGAUCCGGAUGGGCUCCUGAUGUAUCCCACAGAGGGGAUGCCAACGUCAGACACCAGCAGGCUGGGGAGGAGCGGCUGUGAGGUGCAGCCGGCGGGUGGGCGGCCAGCCUCCAGGACAGACCUCGGAGGAGGCUGGGGGCUGCCUGCUGCCCUCGGGGCCCUGUGGUCCCACCACACCCGUGCCUGUCCCAGUGAUCCUCAUGUCACCGGCCCAGUGAGAGGCUGCUGCUACCAACCCCGCCAGCCUGCAGGCCGCUGAGUGCUGGGCUGCUCCUCCUCAGAGGAUGAGCGUGGGAAUAACCCAGUGGGGCGAGGAUGCUGACGGCGCCAUGGAUGUCCACUGAGGGCCCGAGAUGGGCCAGGCCGAGCUCUGUGCUUUGGAGUCAGAUCUCAUUUAAACCCAGCAGCACAUCCCAUUUCACACGUGGGAAGGUGGGGGAGUCAGGAUCAGAGAGCAGGGUGUCGCAUGGGGGAGCAGCCGGGCUGCGAUGUGAACCCUACAGUCUGCCCAUGAGCCGCACUCCUGGGCUGGACACUCCAGAGCCUUCUCAAGCAGCUUUCUUGGGGCUCCCUGAGCACCUGGCUGGAUGCUGCUGGUCUGGAACUCUGGACGGGGGCCCCGGGAGCUGACCUGCAAAGCUGUAGAGCGACUGUGAGGCACUGGCAGCUUUGCAGCCCCUCUGGACCCAGGGUGGGGUGGGCUGAGCAUCUGGCCUUCUGGGUCUAUCUGGGAGGCAGGGCUGUCUCAGAUCUGGGGCCUUCUGAGAAAGAUGUCGAACCCAAGCUUCCUUGGGGAAGGAGGCAGAUGGACCCCAGAUCACUCUCCUGGGUGUGAAAUCAGCUUUGGGGGUGCCUUCGGGGUCGGGCAGAACUGGGCUCACCCAGCUCUCGCCUUUUCUGGCUGUGUCACUUGGGUGAGCUCCUGAGCCUCUCUGUGCCUCGGUUUCCCUGUUGAUUAGGUCAGGCCAAGGAUUAAAUGAUGGCAAAGUCGUACCACGCUGGCUGGUUUUGGGCCUGUGGGGAUUCUUCAUCAUUUCUUCUCUUUCUCCUACUGCAGCUCCAGGCUACCCUGAGAUUUGCCUGCUGGGUCUGGGCUUCAUGGCGGGGCCAGAUUGGUGCCUCGGAGCAGAGGGCACAGGACAGAGCGGGCACCAAUGCACGGGCAGGUUUCCAGGCACUUUGGGAAGAAAUAAGAUCCCACCCAAGAACCUCUCCCCAACUCUGGCCUUGGCUCGUCCUGGUUGUUUCCAAAAGUGAAAGAAGGCAAAAGAGUGAGCCGAGGCCCACCGGGAACAACAACAAAGACCCGGCCUCGGAGUGGCGGCAGCGCCGCGGCCACUGCAGGAGAGCUCUGGUUUCUAUUAGUGGGAAGCGACGGCUCCGUCUCAGGACAGAGCUUGGGCCAUCAGCCCUCGGCGGGUUAACCCUUCCCCACCUCACUGCUCUCACAGGCAACAGGCACCCCUGAAGCUGGGAAGUCCUGGGGCCGGGUUCAGCUGAGGACUCCCUGCAUCCUGCCACCACCACCAACCAUGCUGGCGCUCACACACACACACACAUACGCACGCACACACGCACACACAUGCCUACACACACCCACACGUCUCACAGACACACACGCACACUCACAUGCAUGCACACGUGCCCACACAUGCCCACAUGUCUCACACACACGCAUGCCCACACAUGCACACACACUUAUAUGUGCACACAUAUGCACAAUCCACACCAGCACACACAUGCACAUACACAUACACACACACAGACAUGCAUGCACAUACACACCCAUACAUGCAAACACAUAUUCCUACACAGGGACACUCCACGCCAGGGCCAUGUCAUCUGAGGCCAAAUGAAGAGUUGGCAGAGGAGGAAGGCCUGGAGAGGUAGCGUGGAGGCCAGAGGAGGCCCUGGUUGAGACGUGCUUGCUGGUUUGGCAGGUGGAGGGACUUGGGGACCAAGUAACCCGGCUCGGUCAAACAUUCUCUCCCCAGGCACGGAUGCUGUGUCCCUGGGGAGCCCAACCUCCCCAAGUGGAGCUUGGCUGAGACCCCUCAGCAGCUCCGAGGGCCCCUGUGGGUUGUGAUGCCAGAAACAGGGCCAGAGCUCAGAGGAGGCACAGGGACUACGGUUUCCGUUGAAAGACGGCUCAGGGUCACCGGGCUCAGCAGAGGGAGGGCGCUUCAGGGGCGGUGACCGGGUCGCUUUAGGAAGAUGGGUGGGGGGCACUCGACUCCCAAGGCUGAGGGAGGGGAAAGGUGUGUGCACACUGCAGGCAUCCGGCCUUUGGGCCCCAGAGUGUGCCGGGCAGGUGUCAUCUCCAUUAACAGCUGCAGCCGCUGUGGAGGUGGCUGCCACCAUGAUACCCAUCGUACAGGUGAGGAGGUGGAGGUAGGAAGGGCGUGGCCUGUCUCAACCUGACAGGGAUGUGUGUAUGUGGCCACAUGUUGACUUUUUGUUUUAAAAUUUGGAUUCUACUGGGGAAAAAGAUUACAAUAAAGUGUCUGUGCUGCACCCAGGAAGGCAUGCCCACUGGGUAAGGCUCGGCACCAAGCGGCCUCUCACUGUGGGUCAGGCUCGCAUGGGGCGGGUGUGCCUGGCCCCUGUGUGAACCUGGAGCUGGCCAUGGGGAGAGGCUGCUCUGGGGCUUUUCAGAGAAUCCGUGGUUGAUUCCCUCAAGGACUCCCUCAAGGGGGCCACGCUCCUCCUCCCUGGGUCCCCUCCCUGGCCCCCACCCUUCCCUUUCUCAGGUCCUCCCUCUGACAGUGGCUGUAGCCCUCUGCUCCUAGCCCAGGGCAGCCCUGGCCUCUGGAGUCACAGUCAUGUGUUCAAGUCUCGGCCCCUUUCCCAAGGUGAGCUGGUCCUGCAGGGAUGCGGGAAGUGUCAGAAUAUGAAAACAACCAGGACAAGGACAGCUCAGCUUACCCCGCUCCAGCACCUUCUCCAGGUCAAGCACUUGGCCAGCCCUGUAGCAGCCUCCUCAUUCCAUCUCUCUGGUGUUUUACAGAUGAGAAAUGAGCACAGAGAGGUUAGGAGCAUUGUCCAGUGCCACAGAGCUGGCAUGUGCUUGUCUGGGCUGAGAACUCUAUGAAGCCUUGGAAAUGCUCCCCACAUAUGGAGCAGUGUGUUCAGGCCCCAUGGCCUGACCGGGAGCAGGAGGGAAGGACAGGCUCAGGUCUCGCAUCCCGGGAAGAAUUUCUCCUCAGUGCACCAGGGAAUAUCGCCUGACGACGGAAUCAGGUUUCUUUCCCCAUGACCCCUCCACCAUUAGUGUUCCCAGAAAGCCAGGGGCUGCUGUGCCCAGAGGAGGUGCACCCUGGGAGCCCUGCCUGCAGGACGGGAAGCAGAGCCCCCUCAGAACAGAAACUAGGAACAGAGGAGGGACAAGGGAGGGAGGGCAGAAGGUCCGGUGCCCUCAGUUUCUAUCCAUCCUUGGGUCGGAAACCUGGGAUGGAAUGAGUGAGGAGCUGGGUCCACAGGGACAGGAACUGGGGGAUACCAGGGGCUAGGGCUGCUCAUCCUUUCCCAAGGAGGAGCCAGGGAAAAAUUAAGCUCAUAGGGAAUGUCGGGUUCACCGGGCCUGGCGGACUCCAGAUCCCAGAGGCAGGGCACCCACACAUCUCUCACCGGCACGCACCAGGGCCCCGAUAGCCGGGCACCAUCAUGGCGAAUUACAUUACAUUGCAUUACCCGGGGACCACUAUCAUGACCACGUUGGGAGAGGAAACUGAGGCACUAAGCUGCCAAAGUCACGCAGCCCACAACACUGGAAGGCAAAGCAGCCGUCUGGACCCCAGAACUGGAGCUGUCCCCUCACUGGGCGAAACCCAGAACCCAGUGUUUGCUUCUUUCUCAGAGUAGCAAGAAGACAUGGCAGAGCUGCCCUCAGGCUGGAGGCUUGCAAGCCGGAGGCGCACCACUGUCUAAGCAAACCAGGCACGAGGAAACGCAUUCGCAAGCCUGAGAAGAUGAGUGGCCAUCACUGGCAUCACCGAAAUGGCCUCCUCAACCGGACGGGAAGAAUCCCUCCCCCAGCUGACUCCCCGAGAUGCUCCAUGCCCCACGUUCCUGACCUCCUAGGGGAAGGAGCAGGAGGAACCCAAGGCCAUCAGAGGGGCCUGGACUGUGGGUGCUGCCAAGUCUGUAGGUGACCCGGUGACCAUCCCGGUUUGCAGGGGACCAAGAUUCUUUCUGGGAUGUGGUGCUUUCAGUGGCAACAAGAAGAGCCCCCUCGGCAGCCCUGGCAAUCCAGGACAGUGGGUCGCCCCCGCACGGCCUGACGCUGUGGCGUGGAGUCUCCAGCGGGGCAGCACUGGGUUGGAGGAGGGAGGAUGCUGCCAGCAUCACGGGGAGGUCACAUGCCAGACACUGGUGUCUGAUUUCCCCUUGAGAGAGGUUUCAUCACUGCCCCGUCCUUGGAAAGGGUCACCCAGUCAGACUACAGAGCCAGGACCAUGAUCCAAAGCUGAGCAGUGCCCACCAAAGACAGUGUUCCCAGUGCUCAGGAGCCCUUGGGCCUUUAUAAGGUGUCUACCGUGGGACUAAAAAAACACCUGUCCCCAGGUGACAGCAUGCUGCCUUUGAAACACAGCUCUGUGAGAACACACCUGGCAAAGGCAGUCUUGGGGGCCACGCGGCAGGGACCCCUUUCCUUUACCAACUCUCACAGGCUGAGCCGCUCUUGCUGUGAAUGUACGUGGCCUUGGUAUGUUCUCCAGCAAGAUUAUAAGUGGAGGAUGGAGUCAGCUGGGAAGCGAGGCUCAGAUCAAGGAGGGCUACUACCAGGAUCCCUGCAGAAACAGGGACACAGGGAGAGAUGGCUGUAAAAUCCUUGAGCUUUAAGGGGUAAGCUCAUGGAGCCCUGAAAAAUAUGACUGCAUUGCAAAUGCCAACUUGUAGACACAAAUAUCGUGGAAGCAGGCCACGUUCAGCCUUGCACACUGUGCGCUCUUCCAUGACUGAGAACGUUAGUCACCUGCACCCUGACCAACCUCUCAUCCCUGAAGCCUGCUGGGAGGUGUCUGGGGACAGGAACGAAAAUUUACAAUGUUCUUUGGUUGUUUAAUUUUGAAUUUUCUCCCUCAUUAUUAUUGAAACUGAAACAUCUAAGAGGACACCCAGAUUUAUCUGAAACCGGAAGAUGACACGUAUGAAGGAUCAAGCAUUCAUCACAAACACAGGCAGGCGAAGGAGACCAAAACACAGCUAGGACCAUGCCAAGCGUCGGUGAUGAUGUGGAGAAAUGGGGACCUGCCAGACACUGCUGGUGGGGAGGUGACAUGGUGCAGCCACUAUGGAAAAUAGUCCAGCAGUUCCUCGAAAUGGAAAGCAGGAGUCCCAUGACCCAGCAGUUCCAUUUUCAAGGAAGUCCCCAAGAGAAAUAGAAACUUACGUCUUCACAAAAGCUUGAAAAUACACAUUCAUAGCAGCAUGAUUCAUAACAUCAAAAAGCAGAAACAGCCCAAAUGCCCAUCAGUGGAUGGAUGGAUAAGCACAAUGUGGCCCCUCCAUACGACACAAUAUUACUCAGCCAUAAGAACGAGUGAGGUAGCGGCACAGGCCACAAAGUGGGCGAACCUGGGAACCACGGGACUGAGUGGAAGGAGCCAGUCACAAAAGGUCAUGGGCUGUCUGAAUCCAUUCAUUUGAAUUUCCAGACUAGGCAAAUCCACAGAGACAGAAAGUGGGUUGGUGGUUGCAGUGGCUGGGGGCAGGGGGACAUGGGGAGAGUGCGGAGUGAGUACUAAUAGGUGUGUGGUUUCUUUUUUCAGUGAUAAAAAUGUACUAAAAUUUAUUGUGAUGGUUGCACAAGUCUGUGGCUGAAAACCACUGAAUUGUACGUUUUAAUGGGGUGCAUUGUUUGCGUGUGAAUCACAUCUCAAUAAAGCUGUUUUUAAAAUGCAAUUAUUGCACAAUGCAAA